RNAcentral lists this ribosomal RNA (253 nucleotides) under uncultured bacterium. RNAcentral's name for it is "partial 16S ribosomal RNA". It matches the Rfam family "Bacterial small subunit ribosomal RNA", at positions 524 to 776 of the family's 1533-position model. The record is from RNAcentral.
UACGUAGGGACCGAGCGUUGUCCGGAAUCAUUGGGCGUAAAGAGCGUGUAGGCGGCCAAUUAAGUCCUGCGUGAAAUCUCGGGGCUCAACCCCGAGCGGUCGUGAGAAACUGGUUGGCUAGAGUGCGGGAGAGGAGAGUGGAAUUCCUGGUGUAGCGGUGAAAUGCGCAGAUAUCAGGAAGAACACCCGUGGCGAAGGCGGCUCUCUGGAACGCAACUGACGCUGAGACGCGAAAGCGUGGGGAGCAAACAGG